This 253-nucleotide ribosomal RNA is filed under the name uncultured bacterium. RNAcentral describes it as "partial 16S ribosomal RNA". It matches the Rfam family "Bacterial small subunit ribosomal RNA", at positions 524 to 776 of the family's 1533-position model. The record is from RNAcentral.
UACGGGGGGGGCAAGCGUUGUUCGGAAUUACUGGGCGUAAAGGGCUCGUAGGCGGCCAACUAAGUCGGACGUGAAAUCCCUCAGCUUAACUGGGGAACUGCGUCUGAUACUGGAUGGCUUGGAUUCGGGAGAGGGAUGCGGAAUUCCAGGUGUAGCGGUGAAAUGCGUAGAUAUCUGGAGGAACACCGGUGGCGAAGGCGGCGUUCUGGACUGUUUCUGACACUGAAUAACGAAAGCCAGGGGAGCAAACGGG